MicroRNA precursor from Oryza sativa Japonica Group (Japanese rice), 116 nucleotides. The record is from Rfam. Lineage: Eukaryota; Viridiplantae; Streptophyta; Magnoliopsida; Poales; Poaceae.
AGAACGGGAUGCAGCCAAGGAUGACUUGCCGGCUCCUGGUAUUGGGGGAAUCUCAGCUUUGCUGAAGCGCCUUGGAGUUAGCCGGCAAGUCUGUCCUUGGCUACACCUAGCUCUCU